RNAcentral lists this non-coding RNA (41 nucleotides) under Schistosoma margrebowiei. Lineage: Eukaryota; Metazoa; Platyhelminthes; Trematoda; Strigeidida; Schistosomatidae. The record is from RNAcentral.
AUCUGACGAGUCCUAAAUAGGACGAAAUGCGCAUCUUGGAU